RNAcentral lists this long non-coding RNA (705 nucleotides) under Androctonus crassicauda. The record is from RNAcentral. Lineage: Eukaryota; Metazoa; Arthropoda; Arachnida; Scorpiones; Buthidae.
CAAUCACUGGCAUGAUGAUGAUUUUAUUGAUAAGAACAGAAAAUAAGUUUUAGCAGCAUUUUUGAAUUAGGUAGAUAAUCCAUAUUGACAUGUUUUGAAUCAUAUAGAUAGGAUAAGUGAGAAUAAACUGACCAUGAUUCUAUAUGAGAUUGCUAUUGUCGGCAAAAAAAAUCGAUGGUGAGAUGUCAUAAAGAUGAAUCUGAAAAAUAUUAAUAUUAAUGUGAAAUAUGAUACCAGAACUUAUUCAAGAGAGAGUAAUUUGGAGAAAAGAGAUAAUGGUGUAAUGUUGAAAAAUAUAGUCAGUUAUAAAAAAUGAUGAUGUAUAGGCAGUUCCUGGGUUAUGUAGGUGGAUCAUUCUAUGAAACUCUAUAUAAAGUCAAAACAAAUGUUAAGAGCACAUAUUAUACAGUACUAGUGUGUCACAAUGAUGUAACACCAAAAAUAGUUAUAUUAAAGAAUAAACAUACAAGUCGUGUGAUAAAACAGUUGCUUACUGUCUUGAAGGAUCCAAUUCAAUUUUGAGUCCCACACUUAGUUUUCCAGGAAGGAUCCAAUGUUGGGCUUGGCUAAUUAUCAAAAAAUAAUCCUAUUUAAGUUGGGGAUUGCCUGCAUAUAGGUUAAUGCAUAAACACUGAUUCCUGAACUUUUUCUUUUCAGUCAUAACUUCUGGAAUGUAAAUUUGUUGGCCACCAUACAAAAAUCUAU